RNAcentral lists this long non-coding RNA (4127 nucleotides) under Brassica napus (rape). RNAcentral describes it as "long non-coding RNA (BNAP_LNC010945)". Lineage: Eukaryota; Viridiplantae; Streptophyta; Magnoliopsida; Brassicales; Brassicaceae. The record is from RNAcentral.
GAUACCAUUAUAUAUAGACGGCCAAAGCAUUAUACCCAAACCUAACUCACAUAGUAAAGAAGAAAUAGAAAAGGUGAUAUGGCUUCCGUUAGGCUCUCUUCCGCUACAAUGACCUCUUCUCUGGCUCAUGCCACAAUGGUCGCACCAUUCAUCGGACUUAAGUCCUCUGCUGCUUUCCCAGUGACAUGUAAGGCCAACACCGAAAUUACAUCCAUCACAAGCAACGGCGGAAGAAUUAACUGCAUGAAGGUCAUACAUAUUUCUUAUACCCAAAAUAAAUUGAUGGUUUUUAAUUCUGAAUUAUUCAAAACUAAUAUUUCUUUUAUUGAUUGGUAAUAAACAGGUGUGGCCUCCUGUUGGCAAGAAGAAGUUUGAGACUCUCUCUUACCUUCCUGGCCUUACCGAUGUCGAAAUAGCCAAGGAAAUUGACUACCUUAUCCGCAACAAGUGGACUCCAUGUAUUGAAUUCGAGGUGGAGGUAAGAAAAACUGAAAAAUGAACAUUUACAAAUAUUUAUAAUAAAGAGAUCUUGUAAAUGAUACUAAGUUGUAGAUAAUCACCAUACGAAUCUUGUAGCCAUCUCAAACUAUGCUUAAAGAUCUUAUGCAUAUUUUUUUGUAGUAAAUGAAAAUAAGGAAUCUCGAUUUAUGGUUUGUAUAAUUGUUUUUCGUAGCACGGUUUUGUAUACCGUGAGCAUGGAAACAUCCCUGGAUACUAUGAUGGACGAUACUGGACAAUGUGGAAGCUUCCUUUGUUCGGAUGCACUGACCCAGCUCAGGUGUUGAAGGAAGUGGAAGAAUGCAAACAGGAGUACCCCAAUGCCUUCAUUAGGAUCAUCGGAUUCGACAACAAUCGUCAAGCCCAGUGCAUCAGUUUCAUCGCCUACAAGCCGCCAAGCUUCACUGAUGCUUAAUUACACAGCUUCAUUGCUUUGUGUAAACAACAAAACUUUAUCCUUCCCUGCCUUUGAUUUAUCAUCUUUUUAUAUAUUUUAUCUUUUGUUUAAAUUCCGGAUUUAAUCUUUGUUUUCCAGGUUGCAAGAUAUUUUCUUUUAGGUCCUCAAAUGUCCUAAGAAAUAAAUAUGUAAUGUUAUAAAAAGAUUUUAUUUUGAAUUUUGUAUUUAAAAAAUCAAAUGACAAUGGAUCGAAACAUUAAUUUUACAAAGUUGAGGUAUAGUAAACUAAAUGAAUUUAAUCUUUGGAUUUUCUUUAUUGAAGUUAGGCAAAAAUAAAAGAAGUGAUGUUAUUAACAUGAAGUAAUUAUUAGAAAAAUAGAUUCACAUUAACACUUUUAUCACAUGAUUGAGGUAUAGAAGCAUUUUUUAAACUAUAUCUUAAAGCAAACGAUGGCCCCACUGAAAAUCUAUGAUGUAAGCAUAAGUGGAUGUGAAUUCUUUAGGAUAAGAUUUGAAGAUAAGAGUCUUGGAUAUUCAUUUUUAUUUCCAUUUAACCAUAGUAUAUUCAAUUAUUUUGUGCAGUGUGGAUCAUGUACAUAAUUUAGUCAUUCUUCAAUAAAAGUUUUCCAAUUAAAUAACUUAUAAAAAAAUUAUUAUCUUGGAACUAUGCCAAGUGAAUUUGUAACUUUUUAUGUUAUUUGGCUAGAUUUGAAUAUAUCUUAUUUACAGUAAAAAUUCAAAUUAUCUUUUAUUUAAAUAGAAAUUAUUUAAGUAAAAUAUCUUAUAAGAAAAUAAUACAUAUGAGAAAUCUCCAUAAAAGGACAAUAUAAUUUUUUUUUACUAUUUUAUCAAAAAAAGUUUAUAUGUUAUUUGCUUUAAUAAAUAAUCGCAACAGAAUACGUAUAAUACAUUUGUUUUAUGUAUUACUUUUGUUGAUUAGACAAGGUGGAAACUGACCAAACAAAACCAAAAUUUUUGGGUCAAAAAGAUCCAAAUGGUAUCUUGAAAAUGUCCACCCAAACUAUCUUAUUAUUUUCUCAAAUAGUGGGGGUAUAACUGUCAGGUUUAGCCCUUACCUAGAGCGUAGCAUGCAGCUUUUUUAAACGCCAUAAUUAACUAAAUAACUAGGGUGUCAAAUUAAUAAACCAUUACAUAUGGUACAGUGGUUUUAUGGUGUUUUAUUAACUAGAAAGUGAGGAGUUCGCUUCUUUCUUAUGAUUUACGGACUGGGCCUGAUGACAUUAAAUUAAUAUCAUGCAAGAUAUGAAUUGUUCCCAUCUUGAAGAAGCAAGAUAGGGGAACAUUUUGCCGCCGAAUGCAGUUUGUUAUAAACUGAAGAAAUCCAUUUAUGGACUCAAACAAGCAUGUCGACAGUGCCGUAAGAAAAUUUCUGCAUCACUCCUUUAUCUUGGCUUUGAUAAAGCUCAUGGUGAUCACAUAUUAUUUGUUUAUCAAACAAAUGAUGAUUUGGUGUAUGUAGAUGACAUCAUUAUUGUCAAUACAAGUGAUGAAAUUGGAACCAAAAUUGCAUUAGAAUUGGAAUCAUUCUUCAAACUUCGAGGUCUUGGCUUUCUUGGCCCAAAGCCACUUGACCAGUCGGACCGUCAUAUGACCCAAAGCCACACGACUCCGAAGGUCCCUCACAUGGCCCGAAGCGACCCGACACGAAGUUCCCUCGUAGCUGAAGCCAACAUACGGCUUAAAGACCAAAAAUGAUAUUAAUAUCUUUUACAACCCAAAACCAAAACAUACUUUUCUUAUUUAAAUUCAUUGCUUAGUCUCGUACUUUUUUUAGUUAGUUUCCUUCUUGAUCUGUUUAACAUUUUCUAUUUAACAUACCAAUUCAUUUAUAUAUUCAAUUCUACGUUUUUCACAUUUAACAUUUCGAUCUAAACUAUUUCAUUAUCAUACACAGUCUAACAUACCACAUCCUAAAUUGUGAAAAAGUUAUUCGAACCUUGAAAACCACUUCAAAGAAUAAAAAACAAAACUGAUAGGUUAUCCACAUCCAAAUCCCACCUAUAAAUCAUCAACAUAGAAUCACUAAAAGCCAUAGCUCCAUCACAUAUCACAUCCUCUCUUCAGAGGAAAAACGAAAUAGAAUUUUACUUUUCAAUUAUCCACCCACUGGUGUUACCCAUUAAGCCACAGAUCAGUGGCAAACAUGUUAUUAUCACCAUGAGGUUUUGUUUUUUGUCACAAAUCACAUCAUCACCUCUAGUGAUCUUAAAAGAUCGAAGAUUCUGAACUUAUCUGUGUUUUCCAGCAAUGCUUUUCUGAAAUCGUAGGAGGAUAUCGACAUUGCAUUUUAACUUGAUUCAAAAAAAUUCAACGGCCGAUGUUGCUUUCAUAUUGAAAUACACUUCCAGUGAUUUUAUAUUGUUUGUCACCUAUGUGAUAGGUGCUGUUAGAGGUCCACCAUUUGGAACAAAGUAAAAUUGAGUAUAAGAAUAUUGAAAUAGAGAGAGACAAAUUGUAAUGAAUAUAACUAGAAAUCCUCUAAAUUUAUAUAUCAAUAUUUUUAGUAUAUUAACUUUCACAUCAGUUAUUAUGAUUACAUAUUUUUAGAUUUUCAUUUUAGGCAUGAAAAUUUAUUCACAUUUUUAAAGGCCCAAUCUAAGUUUUAAUUUGGGCCUUACCAUAUCAUUUAAACUAAAUUGAAUAUGAUAAAUGCAGAACAUCUAUAAAGUCUUAAAUAAUAUUAUUUGUUUCCCAUUGAAGAAGAGGUCAAACCCAACAGAAAAUAAAAUGAGUAGCACCAUCAUCACCCAUUUCAUUUAUAGAUAAAGAUAAGGUUCAUGAAAUUAUCUUCCAGGUGGCAUUAUUUUAAUGGUUCAAACCAAUAGGGGUAUCACCACCUUUUCUUAUCCUUUGUGGCUGUUACAAUUCAAUUAAACUUCAUCCAUAUCCACUCAAAAUUUCAAUGGUCUGAAUUCUAUUCUACUCUAAUCUCUUGGAUUCUCAACCCUCUUAUCACUCUGCGGCUUGUUUCCAUUGUUGAUACCAUUAUAUAUAGACAGCCAAAGCAUUAUACCCAAACCUAACUCACAUAGUAAAGAAGAAAUAGAAAAGGUGAUAUGGCUUCCGUUAUGCUCUCUUCCGCUACAAUGACCUCUUCUCUGGCUCAUUCCACAAUGGUCGCACCAUUCAUCGGACUUAAGUCCUCUGCUGCUUUCCCAAUGACAUGUAAGGCCAACACCGAAAUUACUUCCAUCACAAGCAAUGGCGGAAG